RNAcentral lists this ribosomal RNA (453 nucleotides) under uncultured bacterium. Its description in RNAcentral is "bacterial SSU rRNA". It matches the Rfam family "Bacterial small subunit ribosomal RNA", at positions 29 to 526 of the family's 1533-position model. The record is from RNAcentral.
ACGAACGCUGGCGGCAGGCUUAACACAUGCAAGUCGAACGGUUGCAGCAAUGCAGCAGUGGCAGACGGGUGAGUAACACGUGGGAACCUUCCUCGGGGUACGGAACAACUCAGGGAAACUUGAGCUAAUACCGUAUACGUCCGUGAGGAGAAAGAUUUAUCGCCCUGAGACGGGCCCGCGUCGGAUUAGCUAGUUGGUGGGGUAACGGCCUACCAAGGCGACGAUCCGUAGCUGAUCUUAGAGGAUGAUCAGCCACACUGGGACUGAGACACGGCCCAGACUCCUACGGGAGGCAGCAGUGGGGAAUCUUGGACAAUGGGCGCAAGCCUGAUCCAGCCAUGCCGCGUGAGUGAAGAAGGUCUUCGGAUUGUAAAGCUCUUUUGCCAGGGACGAUAAUGACGGUACCUGGAGAAUAAGCCCCGGCAAACUUCGUGCCAGCAGCCGCGGUAAUAC